AGCUAGUGGGGGCAAAGUUUCAGUGCAUUCCGUUGAUGUAGACGGCGUGAAAACGGAAACAACAAGUAUGCCGGCUCACUGUACUGCAUACAGUUACACACUGCGUCGUACGAUUGAGACAAGGAAACUUGGAAUGACUUUUCAUAGGUCCCUCUCUAUCUCCCCACACAUUCACCAACCACUGGAACACAUCUCCAAAGUUCUGCCGGGCCAGCUCAGCUUCCCCUCAGAAGAAGUGGCGCCACCUGCCAGAUGAAGGAGCCUUUUGAGAGGCAGCUGGCAUCGUGAUUGGACUGUACUUUGGUCUGUUCCAAUCCACCUUCAGCUCCAGAGACGGCAGGCGGGACGAGUCAACGGAGGCCUGGUGGACGAAGGCAUGCAGCUGAGUACAAUCCAGAAAACAACAGAGGAGGAGUGCAGGGCCAGAACAACCAGAGUAGCAUCUUAUGUCUCUUAGAAAACAUCAUAGUAUAGCCUUUGGUAUGAAAAAACGCCAUCAUAUACAUCGAAUAUUGUACAAAUAACAAGUCAAAGGAAAGAGACAUACAUUGUAGGAUUGUAGUAAUUGUGGGCUGACUGAUUUACUGAUUAUCAGAAUUUUAUUUUUUACUGAUUUAUGGUAAUAAAUAUAUUUAAAAAUGGUGCUACUUUGGCUCUGAACCUUUAUCUACC
This is a long non-coding RNA of Amphiprion ocellaris (clown anemonefish), 672 nucleotides long. NCBI's taxonomy places the organism in Eukaryota, Metazoa, Chordata, Actinopteri, Pomacentridae. The record is from Ensembl.